This 439-nucleotide ribosomal RNA is filed under the name Symbiodinium sp. B1. Its description in RNAcentral is "partial 23S ribosomal RNA". It matches the Rfam family "Bacterial large subunit ribosomal RNA", at positions 1943 to 2429 of the family's 2925-position model. Lineage: Eukaryota; Dinophyceae; Suessiales; Symbiodiniaceae. The record is from RNAcentral.
UAACGGUCCUAAGGUAGCAAAUUUCCUUGUCGUCUUAAUAACGACCUGCAUGAAACAUAGAACGAUUUGAUAGCUGUCUUGCACACACAUCAUGGUAAAAUAUUCAUCAGUACAAAUAAUAUGCUGCUGACACUAAAGGACAAAAAGACCCUUUGAAGCUUUAUAGGGAUAAAACUCAGCUUUAAAUCAACAAACAAUGAACUCCAUCUUGUUGCUUCUCCGCUUUUUAAAUUGCUAAAGCCUUACAAGAUUUACAACAUCAAGACCACUGUUUAAUUGGGGCGAUAACCUUAUCCACAGCCACCUAAGGUGAACAAAGCGAUACAAGGAUCCUAAAUACUAAUUUGACCAACUAAUAAGUGCAAAGAUACAUGUUUUGCUUAAUGGCCCAACAAGUCCUUCCCAGUACUUAAAUGCUAUCUUAAUGAGCUUUAAAUUA